This 5164-nucleotide long non-coding RNA is filed under the name Sus scrofa (pig). RNAcentral's name for it is "lncRNA (ENSSSCG00055007215.1)". Lineage: Eukaryota; Metazoa; Chordata; Mammalia; Artiodactyla; Suidae. The record is from RNAcentral.
UAAUCACUUGUAAUGGAACAUGAUGGAUGAUAAUGUGAAAAAUAAUAUAUAUAUUUGUAUAACUGGGUCACUUUGCCAUACAGCAGAAAUUGACAGAACACUGCAAAUCAACUAUUAAAAAAAAAAAAAAAAAAGAAGAAGAAGAAGUGCCAAGUUUACCUUGUGGCCUUGAUGGACCCCUUCCCAUCACACGAGCUUGCCUGACUCUCCUGACCCUGAGCUCCUCCCAAGGCCGAAUAGUUCCCCCUUGAACUCCAGGAUUCAGCUUCGUCAGGCAGCUCCUGCUGCUGAGCACUAUGAAUUGACCUGAAAAGUGGAAUACCACCUUUAUGUGGAGGCUUUUGUUAAAACAGCUGCAGAGAAUUUAAGUCAGGCUCUGACCGGGGCUGACAAGAGCAGAGCAGGGAGGCAUAGUAACAGAAGCUGGAGGGGGAGUUCAAGCAUGGUUCCUACGUGUCUUCCCCAGAGGAACCCUGCCCAGCGUAAGGUUGGGACCCUUCCUAUGGUGGACUCUCCUUCUCCGGCAGGUGUCCAUCAGCCUGAUCUCCUUCAUCUCUCACCCUCUUAAAAGAAUAAUUUUCCUUUUCAAUGCAGUAUCAUCUGUAUCGGGGUAAGCCAUAUUCUGACGGGGCAAUUUGGUGAAAUGCCUAAGACCCCAGACUCUGGGGAUUUGCUUCUCAGAUCUGUAGUUGCUGAGAAGUGCUUUUAGACAGAUGAUUUAAGACACCUGUGCUUCAGCUGGUUCCUCUGUAAAUAACCCUUGUGAGCCUUAUAAAGAGAAUUGGGAAUCUGUAUUUAUAUAACCCUUAAAACAAUACCUGCCAUAUAGUUCCCAGGCUAGGGGUCUAACCAGAGCUGUAGCCUCUGGCCUACACCACAGCCACAGCAAUGUGGGAUCCGAGCCUUGUCUGCGACCUACACCACAGCUCAUGGCAAUGCCAGAUCACUGAUGCGUUAAGUUGGAUAAGACCUCCAUUAAUGAGAAAAAAAAGGACCUGAUUUCCUUGGGACCCAUCAGCUGUGGGAACACCUCUAUCUUACUCCCCUUCUACAUCACCUUUUGUCACCCACCACCUGUGUGCAGUGGCCCCAACAACAUACUUGUAUUUUAUUUACCCAUGCUUUUUUUUCCCCCUGUAUAAAAGUGUAUACAUUUAUGGGGGGAAAAAAUUCUACUCCGAGUAGAAUAAUUUAGACUCUAUUAAGGAGACAGGAAUAUGCUAAAACUUAAAAAAAGGGUAGAGUUACAGAAAAUUUUAAGGGGACAUUUCCAAAAACACACAUGUGGCCUCUUCCCACUGUUGUCUCCGUCUGACCCUGUUCUUGAUAUAUGACUCCCAAAGGUUCUUGAAGAGCUGGAUAGGUUCUUAGGUUUUUAUAUUGAAAUUGAUUCCCUCUUUAACCUGCCUGAUAAAAGUUGAGAUAUGGUCCUGGAUGCUUAAAACAAUGGAGGGGAAUGAUAUUAGGAUGUGUAGUGGGUAGAAAAGAGGAACGGAAGCCUAAGGAGGCAGGAGGGAAUGAGAAGCACCACGGCCGUAACUCCAGGUCUGGUGACAGUCGUGUGACAGAAGCCCUAUGUAUCGGCAUCACUGUUUGCAUGUGUGGUAUUUCCUUGGAAAAAGAUACUUAUGGAGUUCCCGUCGUGGCUCAGCAGAAACGAAUCUCACUAGUUCACAUGAGGAUGCAGGUUCGAUCCCUGGCCUUGCUAAGUUGGUUAAGGAUUUGGCGUUGCCGUGAGCUGUGGUGUAGGUUGCAGACUCAGCUUGGAUCCUGUGUUGCUGUGGCUGUGGUGUAGGCCGGCAGCUGCAGCUCCAAUUUGACCCCUAGCCUGGGAACCUCCUUCUGCCACAGGUGCAGCCCUAAAAAGGUAAAAAAAACACUCGUACCUUUUCUUUGCAUCAUGGCUUCCUUUGGUAUGAAUCGUCUACCGCCUAUAGGCCCCUUCUCAGAAAAGAAUUUUAAAUGAAUAAAACCUAUAGGAUUUUAAGGGAAGCCAGUUAUAGAUAAAGAAUAUAUUUAUUAGAAUAUUUUAAAAUUUGCGAUGUGCUAUAUAUGUGCUUCUUCAUAAUAUAUCUAAAUGUAUAAAAUGUGUUGUGAUCUAACACUUAGUGUAAAAAUGACCAUAACUCCAAGGUGGUGUUGAAAGGAAAAGUACUGCAAUUUAUGUCGGUGAUGGAAUCAUAGCAACUGCUGAUAAGACUGUGUUGUUUUUGGUGGUGGGGGUUUUUUCCCUCCAUUCACAAUAGAAUGAAAUGAUUACUUUCAGGGAGAAGUUAGCAAAGGAAAGAUUUUUUUUUUUUUCCUCUAAGAUUUCCAGAUAUCCCUGAAUUCUACGUGUAGACCCCUGGGUGUCUGCACCCUAGAUUGAGAGCUCCUGUUCAGAAGCAGCAUUGACUACAGUACCGCCAGAGUGGGGGUGUGGCGAUAGAUGCUACGAGGACAGUGGAAAAUUCUGCAUGUUGAUGAGCUUUAUGGCGAAGGAAUCCUGUCCUCCAUUUUGGAUUUUUAAGAGAAAAUCGGAAGGGUAUGAUUUUUAAGUAAGGUUUUCUUCAAGCUUCAAGGCCCAUUUCAUUUUCCAUACUAGUGCUUUGAAUUACCUAUAAAAUUCAUAGAACCCUAUGAGCUUUUUCACUUAAACACUGAAUAUGAAAUAUUGCCAAUAAGAGAUAAUUUAGGAUAUUUUUCUAUGCAUGGACAUAUUAUAUAAGUCCUCAUUAUAGUUUUUAGUUUAAAGUGUAUUCCCCCACAUUUCAAAAAACUAGGCAAGCUAAUCGCUCAUUUCUGAUUGCACUUCUCAUGUCAUUUACACGUAUUGAACUAAAUAUUUGAGCAGAGUUGUUGGCCAGUAAGUAAUGCAAGGGAAUGUGGCAAAGAGUUUGCUCUAAUUUCCUUGCUAUUCUUUUCAUGAGGUUUUAGAAAUUGUCUUGUUCUGACCUCUAGGAAUACACUUAAAGUGAGUUUUCAGUUUUGUUUAAUAGCUGUUUACUUAUCUGUUGAUUUUAAUAUAUUCUUGUGUGUAAUUGCCAAGAUCUUUUAGAAAGAAAUCCUUGGAGGUAAUGUGCCCAGAACCUAUAGAUUUUUAAAAUUUUGUUGUUACUUUUAGAUCGUCAGUCCUCCUGCCUCCUGACAUACAGACCAACUUGUCUCUCGUACACUUUAUUUCCAGUUGCUAAAUGCAAUGAAGAGAGUCAGACAUAGUCAGAAGGAAGAGGCCUAUGAGUUAUGGGUGAUUGCUUUUAUGUAUUAACAGUGCCUACGGAGGGUCUCAUUAACACACACAGCAUGGGGAAUUUUUAGAGCCACCACGCAGAGCUCAGAAAACCCAACUGCAAAGAAGACUUGAUUGUUUACAUCUGGGUAUUUUUAUUUUAUUUGGAGCUUUAAGGGACUUUAAUGAAACUUCUUGGGGCAGGUGUUAUGCCAUGUGGCACAGGCACUGGACCACCGCCAUGGCUUUAGAGAUUUAUUGAAGCUUCUCCUUCUAGUGGGAGUGAUAUGAAUCCUUGGACUGUUUCCAUUCAGUGAUGACAUGCGCGUACAAAUCGGCAAUAAAGCUGCUUAAAACAACCAGCAGCCUUCUAGAAAGAGACUUCUUGGUAGGGCCUGAAAGAGAGCAUCUUUGUCAACGGUGUCUUUACUGGAUGCAAAUCUUUCUUUCUCCUUACAUAUUGACUUAUUUUACCAAUUUGAUACAGAUGCUGUUGUGGGGUAAUUGGUAUGGGCUGGGGGAUGUAGAUGUGGUUUCCUAUACACUAAUGAAUGCUCCUAAACUCAGAUUGAAUCUCUCUCUCUCUCUCUCUCUCACUCACACUCACACUCACACACACACAUUCAUAUCUAUGGUUAUGAAAGGUGGCAUAGCCAUUAAGAGCAGUAUCUGGGACCUGCUGCAGGUAACACCAGGACUCACAGUGCUGUUCUGAGUUCUACCACUGGCACAGAAGCCUUCCUCACCACGGUGCGUCCACACCAGCCUUGAGGCCGGGACGAAAGAACAGCCUUUCCAGGACUGCUUGCGAUAAGCAUUCCUCGUGGGCUCUGUAGUGAGGCCAGAAGCUCUGGAGAACGAGACGGGGAGGGAAGCUUUUUCAGUGCCUGCCUGCGAGAGUGAAUGGAUUGUGUCCUCGUUUAAUAGAAUUUGGAGAAAUCGAAUAUUUGUGAUUAGGUCACUGACUUCAAAUUAUCAGUAUAUUUGUCCUUUGGAAUACUAUACAUAAUUCAGUUGAUGCAAUAUAGUUUUUAUAAAUAAUGGCACUUUGGAGGCUGGCUUAUGGAAAUUGGCACUGCAAAUAAUUUUAAAUGUAGAUUAAAGAAUGUAGAACGACAUUUCCUUAUUGACUCAAUUUUCACGAUUUUUUUCCCCUCAUUUCUCUUUGAUUCCUAAGGCAGAAUUAGAAUUUCUCUCGGGAAGACCCCAGAGUAUUUUUUGAUUCAUGCCUGCUCAUGUACCUGUAAUAAGGAGUGAACCAUAAUGUGAAAAAAUUUCUUUCAUUGAAUAUAAAAUAUAAUAACUUCCAUUCACGGGCACUUUCUAUUUUCAUAAACGAGCUACACACCUUAUAUUUUCUCUAUUAUUGUGACAACAGUGCAGGCUACAUGCUAUUACUUUCAUUUUAUAAAUGCAGAAAAUGAGACCAAGAAAAAUCAAGUAACUUCUUCCAGUUCUCACAAGCAGGCCUUUUAAGACGCCAAACCAGCUUUUAAAAAACCAUUAUCCGUUGAACUCCUGAGUCCAUGGUCUUUCCUUUAUGCCUAAAAUUCUUUCUUUUGUUUCAUGGCAAGUAUUGCAUGGGGAUUUGUAAUUUCUUGAGUCGGACACUUGAUUCUCUAGAGGUAAAAGGCCCAGUGAUGAUCUCCGCAGAGGAGGAAUUGCUCUUUUAACAACAGCAACAACAGCAAAACUUAGAAAUGAGAGGUCAUGCUAAUGAGAAACAAGGUACAAUAUAGCUGUUGAGGAAAGUGCCAACAUAACUUCUGGCUUUCAGUCUGAGAAUAUAGCUUCUGCUUGUCCCAGUUUGAAUGCAUAUGUAGUCAUUUCCCUUUAUAACUCUCCGUGGACAGAGUUUGCAAUAUCAGAUGUGAGAUGAUAGAAGUAGCUCCCGCUACAGUGAAGCCUAAGGAAGCUAUGGCCUAAAAUAUAAACUCUUUAAAAAAAAAAAAAAAA